Molecule: ribosomal RNA, 537 nt
Filed under: Triticum aestivum (bread wheat)
Lineage: Eukaryota; Viridiplantae; Streptophyta; Magnoliopsida; Poales; Poaceae
Description: partial small subunit ribosomal RNA
Source: RNAcentral
AUGGCGGAAUCGAACUCGUACGAGGAGCAGCGCCGGAGGCAGGUGGAGGAGAACCGCCGGAAGCUGGAGGAGCUGCGCCUGCACCACCUCUCCGCCGCCGCUAGGCCCAAGCCCAACCCCAACCCCAGGCCGAAGCGCAAGGCCCCGGGCCCCGGCGAGCUCCGGCGGUCCGGCCGCGUCGCCGGCCUCCCGGAGCAGCCCAACUACCUCAAGGGCUCAGAGCAGCGCGGCUACCGCGGAGUGUACGAGGCAUACGCUGUUUGGAAAGGGCCGACCGACGAGGAGAGGGCCGCCGCCGUCGUUGCCGCCGCCGCCAAACAAAAGGCGGAGGAGCUCCAGCGCCGGAUCCACGGCAUCCUCUGGCCCGCCUUCGUCAAGCCCGUGACCCACGACUGCGCCAGCAGGGCCGCCGUGAUGGUAUUGCAGCCAUUCUUGGAUCGGAUUGGAUGUAUAUUAGGUGGGUUAUAUCUUAUACUAGAUCGGGUUCGCGCCGUAGCGCGAGGGUGCCGGUCAGAACGUUUAGACAAAACCAUGUAA